Molecule: ribosomal RNA, 408 nt
Filed under: uncultured bacterium
Lineage: Bacteria
Description: bacterial SSU rRNA
Rfam family: Bacterial small subunit ribosomal RNA
Source: RNAcentral
AUUGAACGCUGGCGGCAUGCUUUACACAUGCAAGUCGAACGGCAGCACGGGUGCUUGCACCUGGUGGCGAGUGGCGAACGGGUGAGUAAUGCAUCGGAACGUACCUAUCAGUGGGGGAUAACACAUCGAAAGAUGUGCUAAUACCGCAUAUUAUCCGAGGAUGAGAGCGGGGGACCUUAGGGCCUCGCGCUGAUAGAGCGGCCGAUGUCGGAUUAGCUAGUUGGUGAGGUAAAGGCUCACCAAGGCGACGAUCCGUAGCGGGUCUGAGAGGAUGAUCCGCCACACUGGGACUGAGACACGGCCCAGACUCCUACGGGAGGCAGCAGUGGGGAAUUUUGGACAAUGGGCGAAAGCCUGAUCCAGCCAUGCCGCGUGAGUGAAGAAGGCCUUCGGGUUGUAAGCUCUUUG